RNAcentral lists this long non-coding RNA (1486 nucleotides) under Salmo salar (Atlantic salmon). Its description in RNAcentral is "lncRNA (ENSSSAG00000104701.1)". Lineage: Eukaryota; Metazoa; Chordata; Actinopteri; Salmoniformes; Salmonidae. The record is from RNAcentral.
UGUAGGCUCUGUGCUCUAACCGUAUAGGUCCUAGGCUCUGUGCUCUAACCGUAUAGGUCCUAGGCUCUGUGCUCUAACCGUAUAGGUCCUAGGCUCUGUGCUCUAACCGUAUAGUUCUCUGUAGGCUCUGUGCUCUAACCGUAUAGUUCUCUGUAGGCUCUGUGCUCUAACCGUAUAGGUCCUAGGCUCUGUGCUGUAACUGUAUAGGUCCUAGGCUCUGUGCUCUAACCGUAUAGGUCGUAGGCUCUGUGCUCUAACUGUAUAGGUCCUAGGCUCUGUAGGCUCUGUGCUCUAAUCGUAUAGGUCCUAGGCUCUGUGCUCUAACCCUAUGGGUCCUAGGCUCUGUAGGCUCUGUGCUCUAACCGUAUAGGUCCUAGGCUCUGUGCUCUAACCCUAUAGGUCCUAGGCUCUGCUCUAACCCUAUAGGUCCUAGGCUCUGUAGGCUCUGUGCUCUAACCCUAUAGGUCCUAGGGUCUGUGCUCUAACCCUAUAGGUCCUAGGCUCUGUACUCUAACCCUAUAGGUCCUAGGCUCUGUGCUCUAACCCUAUAGGUCCUAGGCUCUGUGCUCUAACCCUAUAGGUCCUAGGCUCUGUAGGCUCUGUGCUCUAACCCUAUAGGUCCUAGGCCUAUAGGCUACGUUUGGAGUUAUUUGGCCAUUUUAGUUGAUUCAAACCUUAUCAAAACAUAUAGGCCUAUGGACUAGGCUACAUGUGUGCAACUAUGAUUUGAAAAACUCGCCAAAAAAAGGCAUGCGCUGUUUCUUGCCUUACUGCACACGCUGGGCAUCAUUCCCAAGUGAUAUUGUCACCCAUCAGACUAUUCUUCAUUUAGUCUUGUCUUUACAUAUACUAAAUAAUAUAUGUGUGAAAUGAGUUGCACCGGUCUGAACAGGGGCAGGGGGGAAACAAAUGUCAUCUAUGCACUUAAAUAAUGAAUAAAAUGUUUAUAAAGUCCAUUUUGUUUAUAAAUUAUGAUAGAUUUAAGCAACUGCUGCUUGUCUCGUCUGCACUUGUCCAAUAUCACUUCACUUUCAUGCGCAUAUCACGUGUGGCAGCUGUGAUCAGCCGGCCUCGUCCCCUACCAGCCAUCACUCACCUGCACUGACCAGUCUGAGUAGACUUUGCAAGUUCACUGUCCUGCAGCCUCUGAGUGUCAGGGAGGGGAAAAUGGAGCACCGCUUCGCAACAGGCAUGCUCGCCUGGAAUCAUGGGCCAGCGAAUCCAGGCCAGUGAUACUUGGCCUGGAAUCGUUUUGUUAAAUGUUUGUAUCGUGACAAACCUACUAUAAUCCUGUUGUAAAGCGAAGCAAUGUUCUUAAGGUUCUUAAUAAUAGGAAAGCCGUUUUGGAGAAGCCUAGUCACCGUAACAGCCCUAACUCUGGCCCUCUACUCUCACAUCCAGCACUCUGAAUCCCAGCAAGACACCUCACCUCUCUCAAGGCCUCAGUCUCACCCUCCCUCCCAGCCAUCCCUCCCUCCCAGCCGUC